UCAGAUUGCAGUCUGCAACUCGACUGCAUGAAGUCGGAAUCGCUAGUAAUCGCGGAUCAGCAUGCCGCGGUGAAUACGUUCCCGGGCCUCGUACACACCGCCCGUCACACCAUGAGAGUCGGGAACACCCGAAGUCCGUAGCCUAACCGCAAGGGGGGCGCGGCCGAAGGUGGGUUCGAUAAUUGGGGUGAAGUCGUAACAAGGUAGC
Molecule: ribosomal RNA, 208 nt
Filed under: uncultured bacterium
Lineage: Bacteria
Description: partial 16S ribosomal RNA
Rfam family: Bacterial small subunit ribosomal RNA
Source: RNAcentral